Molecule: long non-coding RNA, 1383 nt
Organism: Orcinus orca (killer whale)
Lineage: Eukaryota; Metazoa; Chordata; Mammalia; Artiodactyla; Delphinidae
Exons: 6
Source: RefSeq, a predicted model, not a curated record
GUUACGUCUGCCUGGGGAACACUUCCUCAACCUAAUACUGUAAAACCAAGAUGUGUUGAUGAAAUCUUAAGGAAGGCCACAGUGAGGAACGUAAGGGUUGGUGGAAUUAAGGCAAACAUAAGGACCACCGAAAUGGAGAAGUUAUAGCUGAUGACCAAGCCCACAGUUUGAUACUGUAGAAUGCUUGCCCUGUGAAGCAAAGUUGAAUUCCUUUAAAAGGGUCCAGAGUUUCCUUGUGUGCGUCUCAGAGUUGGAGGAGUUCUAGCCUCUACGGGAUCUUCACGCAUCGAAUCUAAACAGAAACCAACUUUAAACUGGUCAUCACACGUGAGCAUCCUUGCCUCGGAGCAGACAGUGAUAAGAUUUGAUGGAGAACACCUGCUUUUUUCUUGGUCAUCUGCUAGAGAAAAAUCUGUUUCUCUUGCCCUUGGAUUUGCGGCUCAUCAGAAGUAGCCUGUCCAAAUUGUGUGUUGGAUCUUCCUUCUUUGCCUUUGGACGAAAACCUCUGGUAGACUCAUCCUCAGGGUAUCUAUGGAUUCUUCGAAGACUACCACGGACGCUGUGCGCUGACCUGAGCGACGCCCGACGUGUGCCUGCGCAGGACGUCCAUCUACUUCCGCUUCUGGUGCUGAGCUCUGCAUGACCUUUUACUCCCGCGGGCCCUCAGCCCUUGUAGGAAACCACAUGAUGAGAUCCUCUCCAGGUGGCGCCUGCCUCCCUGCCCUCUGUAGGGUCCACCCUGAUCCAGUUUUUUCUCUGUGUUCAGCCAUGCGGAUUCCUUCCAUCCAACCUCUUGCCUUCAAAGUUUUUCAGGCGAGAGCCAGCCUCUUUGUUUUCCAAAUUCCUCACAUGUCAAGAUCAAAGUUUUCUCACUGGACCUGAGGUUGGUUAACAAAGCGUAGUGGAGGGGAAGAAAAGCGUGGGGUUUACUGACAGUUGUUCUAAAACAUUAUUUAUCCAUCUUCCUAAUGCACUCUUAGCUUUUGUUCUAUAAUGGAAGGUAGGCGAUAGGCUAAGCGGGGCCGAACCUGGUUUUGGCAGCCUCCUUUGCAGGUCACAUGUAAACGACCGGGCGUCUCUCUCUAGGAGGCAGGGGCAUUUGUCACAUAACUUCUCAGCUUUGAAAUCCCAGCCAAAACUGAAACAAUGGAACAAAUCCCAUUUAGACUUCACACAUAUAAAAAAAAAUCUUCAAAAUUUUCUAAACGUUGUAGACCAUGGGGCGGAAAAGACCCCGUGGAUUAUGUAAGAGCAUGUUCUGCGUUAAGAUAGUUGUUGUAGUGUUAAUUAUAAAACUGUAAAAUUCCAAAAUGGUAAUUUGGAGGUAAUCCAGAGUCCUGUGAUAGGAGGAUGGCUCAGGAAGUGAGGACAUAUCUCUAUUAA